CACCUUUCUUUUUCAAUUGGCAAACCCCAAUUUGCUGCCCCACUCACCACUUACUCUUCUUUAACCCCCAAUUUCCAUCAACUUCUCCCACCUUCCACCCUCUACUCCUCUCAUUCGUAACUUGCACUCUCACUCGCCGAUGCUACCUUCUCUCUUCUCCAUCCAUCACCACUCGUCGCCGCCUCUAAUCGGUGUCGCCCCCACUUAUUGCUGCCCCUACAUACAGUCAAAGGUCCAUCUCUUUCAUAUCAGAUGAGCAUCUUUCUCAUUUAUUUUUGUUAUAUCAAUAGCUCAGUAAAAUUUAAAUUCUCUUGAUGCAUGAAAAAGAAUUGUAGUAUAUCUGGUAGAUCUAAGUCAUAGUUAAUCAUAAAAAGAAAAUAUUUAGAGAUAUGAGAAUAAAUGGACUAAUGAUACAUAUUUUUCUCUUGUAAGUGUUUGGAAGGUAUUCAUGAUGUAUAACUGAGAGAAGAUAAAAAAUAGUUCGAUAGGACAUUCUUUUUUUAGAAUAGGAUAUUGUUCUUUUGAUA
Molecule: long non-coding RNA, 527 nt
Filed under: Elaeis guineensis (African oil palm)
Lineage: Eukaryota; Viridiplantae; Streptophyta; Magnoliopsida; Arecales; Arecaceae
Description: long non-coding RNA (EGUI_LNC063022)
Source: RNAcentral